Mangifera indica (mango) is the source of this 1204-nucleotide long non-coding RNA. RefSeq lists it as uncharacterized. The record is from RefSeq and is a predicted model, not a curated record. The transcript has 2 exons. Lineage: Eukaryota; Viridiplantae; Streptophyta; Magnoliopsida; Sapindales; Anacardiaceae.
UACUCCUCUCUUGAAAACAAAGUCUCUAAAUUCCCAAAACAAGAGGAGUCUCACCCACACCACAGCCUUCUCAAACAAAAAUCCACACACUCACUGGUCUCUUACAUUCCAUACCAUCCCAUGCAUUGCUUGAUGAUAGUAUAACAGAGUUCCUCAACCAAAUCAUCGACCAAGCUCUGGUCAUUUGUCCUCUUGCAUAAACAUUUUUCUCUGCAGCAACUCUAAUGAAGUCAAAGAUUCAAAAGUGUGCCAAACCUCCAGCCCAGUCCUGCCCUUGGAAGUAGAAUUUUUUGCUUGGUUGAGAAUUGAGCAUCCAUUAACCUUAAAUUUGCCUUCCCAGUGACAGUGAAGCGCACUUGAAGCAAGCAUCGGCCCAUCACAACCUUCAGGCCACAGUUUGUGUUCCCUUUCGUCUCCCCAACUUCCUCUCCCUCUGAGGAAUUUAAUCCUUCAACUGCUUUGGACUCAGGGUCAGAAUCUCACUUUGAAAAGCCUUCCAGAUAAAAAAAGGAAAGGAAAAAGAACCUUAGAAUGCUCUCUCUUGUUCCAGGGAGACUAAGAAACCUAAUUCUCAGCAAUCAGUUGCAACUAGAAAAUGCAUGCAUUGUGAAGUGACAGAGACACCACAAUGGAGGGAAGGUCCUCUGGGACCAAAGACCCUUUGUAAUGCAUGUGGGUUGAUACAGGUCUAGCUGCCUACUUCCUGAGUAUCGACCUGCUGCAAGUCCAACAUUUGUUCCAUCAUUGCACUCCAACUCUCACAAAAGGGCUCUGGAGAUGAGAAACAAGCACAGGCAGUAGACCAGUAUGUAUGACUUGCAAGUCUGGCAGAGAGGCAGUAAACCACUGUGGUUGUGAGGUACUUUGUAUGAGCAGACACAUUAGACAAUUAUUUAUAGGACAGCAAGCCCCAUGAUUCUGUUUACUGUUUUUUAUGUUAUCCUGGUUGAUUUGUUUUGUAUAUUAAUGGAAUAAGAGGUAGGAAGUAGUCGGAGUAGGAGCCUUUGGUGCUUAGCACAUGUUUGUCACUAGGAAAAGAAAAGGCAAUAGAAUUAUCAGAUGAGGCAGAGAAUGAAAUUGGUGUAAGUGGUAACCUUUAAACUUUAGGCUCUCUGGUGGUGUUUGAUGUGCACAUUCAAUUAGUUGCUGUGGACUGCAUUUUGAACAUCAUCUUCAGGUUUUUCAUGGACAUUUAUUUGUUUAU